AUUGAACGCUGUCGGCAGGCCUAACACAUGCAAGUCGAGCGGAGCGGCGGACGCGUGAGUAAUGCCUAGGAAUCUGCCUGGUAGUGGGGGUUAACGUCCGGAACCGGGCGCUAAUACUGCAUACUAUCAGAUGAGCCUAGGUCGGAUUAGCGAGUGGGUGGGGUAAAGGCCUACCAAGGCGACGAUCCGUAACUGGUCUGAGAGGAUGAUCAGUCACACUGGAAGUGAGACACGGUCCAGGGUGCUGCGGGAGGCAGCAGUGGGGAACAGUCCACAAUGGGCGCAAGCCUGGUGCAGCCAUGCCGCGGGUAUGAAGAAGGCCUUCGAGGUGUAAGAUACUUUCAGCGUGGAGGCGUUACCCGCAGAAGAAGCACCUGCUAACUCCGUGCCAGCAGCCGCGGUAAUAC
This 407-nucleotide ribosomal RNA is filed under the name uncultured bacterium. RNAcentral's name for it is "partial 16S ribosomal RNA". It matches the Rfam family "Bacterial small subunit ribosomal RNA", at positions 30 to 526 of the family's 1533-position model. The record is from RNAcentral.